RNAcentral lists this unclassified non-coding RNA (734 nucleotides) under Hevea brasiliensis (rubber tree). The record is from RNAcentral. Lineage: Eukaryota; Viridiplantae; Streptophyta; Magnoliopsida; Malpighiales; Euphorbiaceae.
CUAGAACUUAAAUAAUUUAUCCAGCAGGUGUUAAGAAAAUCUCAUGCAAGUUACUAUCAAACUUAUGACCAAAUCAGUGGCUGGUCAAAGCUGUUGGGCGGGAUUGUGUGAAUGAGCUGAUUUAUAGCUAGAUAACUAAUUUAUAGCAGGGCUUAUAUUUUCUGAAAAAUAGUGAUGAUACUUGAUCUGUGGUAACUGAAAAGAGGAAUUCCAGCAACCCAUCAAUUGGAAUAUGGGGACUUUUGGGGUUGAUGUCAAUGGAGGCAAAGAUAGAUCUUCAAGAGCUUAGCAGAAAUUGAGAGUAAAUAGAAAAACAACAAUCAAAUAAGAAAGAUAGAUGACCUAAAUUUUGCAUAAUUCUUUUCCUAGCAAUCUCUCAACAGAAUUUUUAGGCAUCACAAUGCAUGCCAAUAAGGGUUCACCAGAAUUGAACUCAAAAUUAAUUAAUGUCUUGUAGAAUUAUUAGCACAGCCUCAAGCCUAGUAUAUCCAAUCCUGCGUAAUCAAGCUUCUGUACAAUUUGAAUUUUAUGUAGCUUUUCUUGUCCAUGUGAAUCUACAUCAAAGUAUGCCAACUGUCUUGUAUUUAUCUGUAUCUAGACCUUAUCAGAAUGUUUUACCUGGGGCCUUUGCUGCAUUAAUUUUCUUUACUUAUUUUAAAUAUCAUAAUAUUAUUUUUUAUUUGAGCCUGUGCAGUUUGACACUUUUUGUUCCUGAUCUAAAUAUGGACAAGUGG